This is a non-coding RNA of Nicotiana tabacum (common tobacco), 1565 nucleotides long. NCBI's taxonomy places the organism in Eukaryota, Viridiplantae, Streptophyta, Magnoliopsida, Solanales, Solanaceae. The record is from RefSeq and is a predicted model, not a curated record.
UCGGACAUUUCACUGCUGAACGAUGUAUGCCACUCGGCUUCUCAUUAAGCAACAUCAUUAAGUAAUACCUACCAUUAAAUAAUUCGGCUCAUUCCCAUACAAACCGACCUAGAGAACAGAUCCAACAUGUUUCCUAUUAUUUAGCACCAAAAACUCACCCGAUCCUUAUCAAUUACCAACCAUCCUCAAAAUUAGACCCUCAAAUUGUCUCAUGCACCCAAAUACUAGGAUUGAUUGAACCAAGAACCUCUUAUUAUGGCUUGAUAUUUUAUCUUUUUGACUGUAUUUCAAGAAAAGUUUACAUGUUUUAAACUCAAAACUGAAGAAAUUGUUGGCAUUUCUCGAAGAAGUGUGAAGGGAUUUCAACACCGAUCAUAAUUUUUAAAGCUCAGUCCCUUUUUAUCAAACUUUAAAGUAGAUAUUGAAGUUGUUAUCCAAAAGUGUGCUUCUUCGGUAAAAGAGCUGGGAACAUUCAGAUGGUGCCAUUGGCCUCGGCAAUAGUAGAGGUUGAAAAUAGUCAUAACUGGAGAUGGUUUGUCAACAUUCUAAGUGGUCAUCUUCAGCUGGGAGGUAGGAUAGAAUUGAUAGUUAUUACAGACAUACAGAAGGGGCUGGAGACAAUAAUCAGAGAGCUUCUACUAAAUGUAGAACAUAAGAUGUGUGUCAAGCUCAUUCUAGCUAACUGGUCCAAGAAUUGGAGAGGAUUGAGAGAAGAAACGCUUUUGGAGAUGUACUAGGUCUACAUGAGCAAAAAUUCAAGAACAAUCUGGAUAAUUUGGCUAAACUAGGCAAUAAAAUAGUUGAUGACCAACUGUGGUACAACAAAGGAAGGUGUUGCAAUAUUUAUUUCAAAUAUUUCGGCAACUAUGAUAGUGUUGACAACAAUAUGGCUGAAAAUUUUAAUUCAUGGAUAUUGGGGCCAAGGUACAAGACUACUAUCACAAUGCUUAAGAGAUAAGGGUGAUGAAGAUGAGAAGAAUAGCAUAAAUGAGAGAAUUCUGUAAUACUUGGAUCACUAAUAUAUCUCUAAUUAUACUAAAGGUAUUGCAAGAGAACACAACAAGGUCAAUGAAGUAUAUGGUUGAGUGGAAUGGUGAAUAUGAGGGUGAAAUCAAGGAAGGAGAAAAAGUAAUUCAGGAUCGAUUUCGAAGUAUGAAUCUCAUGUUAGAAGUUUUAAGUUGGAAGAGUUGACUAAGUUUGAUUUUUAUGUAUUUGACUCCAGAUCAGAGUUUUGAUAGUUUCGUUUGGUCCGGAUGGUGAUUUUGGAUUUGGGCAUAUAUCCGGAUUUGCAUUUGGAUGUUUCUUGAAGGUUUUGGCGUUAAUUGACGAAUGUUGGUAAUUUGGAGUUUUGGAAUAUUCAUAAGUUUGACUGAAAGUUGACUUUGAUGAUAUCGGGUUCAAAUUGCGGUUCUGAGAAUUGGAGUAGUUUCGUUAUGUCAUUUGGAACUUGUUUACAAAAUUUAAGGUCAUUCCGAUUUGAUUUUAUAUGGUUCGGCACGUGUUUUAGAAGUUGAAAGUUUAAAAGUUCAUUAAGCUAUAUUUGAGGUGCGAUACGUGGUUUUGAU